UACGUAGGGUGCAAGCGUUGUCCGGAAUUAUUGGGCGUAAAGAGCUCGUAGGCGGUCUGUCGCGUCUGCUGUGAAAACCCGGGGCUCAACUCCGGGCCUGCAGCCGAUACGGGCAGACUAGAGUUCGGCAGGGGAGACUGGAAUUCCUGGUGUAGCGGUGAAAUGCGCAGAUAUCAGGAGGAACACCGGUGGCGAAGGCGGGUCUCUGGGCCGAUACUGACGCUGAGGAGCGAAAGCGUGGGGAGCGAACAGG
RNAcentral lists this ribosomal RNA (253 nucleotides) under uncultured bacterium. RNAcentral's name for it is "partial 16S ribosomal RNA". It matches the Rfam family "Bacterial small subunit ribosomal RNA", at positions 524 to 776 of the family's 1533-position model. The record is from RNAcentral.